GUGGGGAAUCUUCCGCAAUGGACGAAAGUCUGACGGAGCGACGCCGCGUGAGUGAAGAAGGCCUUCGGGUCGUAAAGCUCUGUCAUCAGGGACGAAUGGCCGGUGGAGUGGAAAGCCACCGGAUUGACGGUACCUGAGAAGGAAGCCACGGCUAACUACGUGCCAGCAGCCGCGGUAAUACGUAGGUGGCAAGCGUUGUCCGGAAUUAUUGGGCGUAAAGCGCGCGCAGGUGGGAUCUUAAGUCCAUUUUGAAAGUUCGGAGCUCAACUCCGUGAUGGGAUGGAAACUGGGAUUCUUGAGUACCGGAGAGGAAAGCGGAAUUCCCCGUGUAGCGGUGAAAUGCGUAGAUAUGGGGAGGAACACCAGUGGCGAAGGCGGCUUUCUGGACGGUGUCUGACACUGAGGCGCGAAAGCCAGGGGAGCGAACGGGAUUAGAAACCCUAGUAGUCC
RNAcentral lists this ribosomal RNA (450 nucleotides) under uncultured bacterium. Its description in RNAcentral is "partial 16S ribosomal RNA". It matches the Rfam family "Bacterial small subunit ribosomal RNA", at positions 354 to 796 of the family's 1533-position model. The record is from RNAcentral.